CAGCAGCCGCGGUAAUACCGAGGGUGCGAGCGUUAAUCGGAUUUACUGGGCGUAAAGCGUGCGUAGGCGGCUUCUUAAGUCGGAUGUGAAAUCCCUGAGCUUAACUUAGGAAUUGCAUUCGAUACUGGGAAGCUAGAGUAUGGGAGAGGAUGGUAGAAUUCCAGGUGUAGCGGUGAAAUGCGUAGAGAUCUGGAGGAAUACCGAUGGCGAAGGCAGCCAUCUGGCCUAAUACUGACGCUGAGGUACGAAAGCAUGGGGAGCAAACAGGAUUAGAUACCCGUGUAGUCACUGUCUCUUAUAC
This 301-nucleotide ribosomal RNA is filed under the name uncultured bacterium. RNAcentral describes it as "partial 16S ribosomal RNA". It matches the Rfam family "Bacterial small subunit ribosomal RNA", at positions 509 to 807 of the family's 1533-position model. The record is from RNAcentral.